This is a non-coding RNA of Zea mays, 79 nucleotides long. The record is from Rfam. NCBI's taxonomy places the organism in Eukaryota, Viridiplantae, Streptophyta, Magnoliopsida, Poales, Poaceae.
UGCCGAUGAUGCAUAACUGAUGCACGUAUUAUCGGAUUGUUCCAUGACGAUGAUGCAAGUUGUCACUACCACUGAGGCA